Molecule: RNA transcript, 1878 nt
Organism: Cebus imitator (Panamanian white-faced capuchin)
Lineage: Eukaryota; Metazoa; Chordata; Mammalia; Primates; Cebidae
Exons: 3
Source: RefSeq, a predicted model, not a curated record
GAAGAAGGCUGCCGAAGCAUGAGCCCGCACACCCCACCCACGAGAGCCCGGCUGAGCGUCUGUUUCCCUUGGGACAGGACCUUGUCGCCUGGCUCUGAUGGUGACUUGGUUCCCGGCUAGGGCUUUGUGUUUACCAUGAGCGUUGUCUGCUAUUGGGGAGCUGCGGGGAGCUUGCGUGUGUUUCACGACAAACCGGGAGCCUGGGAGACCACCCUGAGAGGCUGCCCCUUCCCUCAGCGCUUUCCGCCUGAAUCGCUGACGUCGGGCGGUGCCUUGGCUCGUCUGUGGUGUGAGGCGCUGGUCCAGGCUUACACACUAACAGUGCAUGAGGAGGAGAAAACGCUCUGCGGGUGCAGCAGAAGGUCAAGAUGGAGCCUGGUUUGCUCUUAGAACCUUCCCCAAGGCUCAUGCGCUUCCUCUUCCUUCCUGACCAGGGGCUUUGAUGCCCCUGCCCUGGGCUGCCUGGUUCCUGCCCGUGAGUCUUCAGAAGGAGCCCCAGGCCUGGAGACGUGAGUUCUGGUUCGGGUGCCUUGCGUGGCCUGUGGAUCCUGGGCCUGGUCUCUGUCCCCAGGCCCGUGUUCAGGGACCGCCCUCAGCACCAAAGGCAGCCCAGUCCGGCCUUAACUCAGCUCCCAGGGCGGAGGCCCAUGCCCAGCACUGGGCAGGAGGAGGGCAUCCUCAGGGCAAGGGUCUGCUAUCAGGGGGCUCUGGGCCGCAACUCCUGGGCACUUCCAGAUUCCUGCAGCGCAGAGAAGUUUUCCUGGGGGAAGGGAGCAAGCACCCUGAGGCUGCAGAGACCGGCUGCGAACACCCAAUUUACAGCAGCCCAGGACUGUGCUGCCCCCUGGUGGCGACAGAUUUUACUACACACGGCCCACACGUGAAAGGAGUUUCUCUUCAGUGGCCCAGUUGCCUUCUGUCGUGCAGGAGGAACUCCCGAGCCACGGAGAUUCGGAAAGGAUCGAAUAAGGGCAAUAAAAUCACAGCUCUAAAUCUUUUCAUGAAGUUGAAGGCAGACGUUUUACUGUGGGAGCCAUCUCAUCUUUAUCUGGGAUGCACUUCAGAAUCUCUUUGGGAAGUUUUUGAAAUUUACAUGGCCAGGCCUGACAUCUGACUCAGAGGCCCAGGGUGGAGCCAGCACUGACCUGCUCUGCAGAGCUUCUCAUGGUGUCCUUGAUUGGAAACACCGUCACGUAUGCUUCCUCUUCUGGGAGUAUCUGCCUAUCUGAAGAAAGGGCACAGGUGCUAUACAACCAUCUCUGGAGAUAGUGCCUGUGGAAUUUUAAGCUUUAUUCUGCUAGCUGGCCUGAGUCCAAGCUGGUAAAGAGGCCAAGAAUUCCCAAGCUUUCCCAGGCAAGCGGGGAAGAACACUGGGAUGCCUUUUCCUCCUCUUCUGUCCAUCUGCAGGCCAAGUGUGCAUCAGUCACAGGCGAACUCUGAAUCGAGCUUUGUGCAAGCCUCUGGAAAGAGACCCAAGAUCCUGUGAUGAGCAAAAGUGACAGUGCUGGUGGCAGUGACAUCUGCAGAGCCAGCCCCACCCCUAUCUGCAGCAGAAUACGCAGGGGCAUCCUUUAUGCAAACAAUCCCCCUGGGGUAGAAUGGGGCUUUUGACAUCAGCUGAGGCCCAGGCUGCCUUACAAUGAGAGGCCUGUUGGUCAAAGGAAGGACUGUUUAAUGAACUGAGAACCUGAGGCCAGCUCUGGCCAUCUGCACUUAGAAUCAUUAGAGCAACUCUACUGUAACUGGCAACAUUGAAUAAUGCAACAAAUUCAUAUUUCAAAAUUGUGAACUUUAAAAUUUUGUGUUUGUGUCUAUGAUGAAAAACAUUAUAUAUACAUUUGAUACUACCAUUUUAUCAGUAAAGAAGCCUGAAAAAUA